RNAcentral lists this ribosomal RNA (434 nucleotides) under uncultured archaeon. RNAcentral's name for it is "bacterial SSU rRNA". It matches the Rfam family "Archaeal small subunit ribosomal RNA", at positions 19 to 458 of the family's 1478-position model. The record is from RNAcentral.
GGACCUGACUGCUAUCGGAUUGAUACUAAGCCAUGCGAGUCAUUGUAGUAAUACAAGGCAGACGGCUCAGUAACGCGUAGUCAACCUACCCUAUGGACGGGGAUAACCUCGGGAAACUGAGAAUAAUACCCGAUAGAACAUUAUGCCUGGAAUGGUUUAUGUUUCAAAUAAUUUAUUGCCGUAGGAUGGGACUGCGGCCUAUCAGUUUGUUGGUGAGGUAAUGGCCCACCAAGACUAUUACAGGUACGGGCUCUGAGAGGAGUAGCCCGGAGAUGGGUACUGAGACACGGACCCAGGCCCUAUGGGGCGCAGCAGGCGAGAAAACUUUGCAAUGUGCGAAAGCACGACAAGGUUAAUCCGAGUGGUUUCUGCUAAAGAAACCUUUUGUCAGUCCUAGAAACACUGAUGAAUAAGGGGUGGGCAAGUUCUGGUGU